UGGGGAAUAUUGCACAAUGGGCGCAAGCCUGAUGCAGCCAUGCCGCGUGUAUGAAGAAGGCCUUCGGGUUGUAAAGUACUUUCAGCGAGGAGGAAGGCGUUGUGGUUAAUAACCGCAACGAUUGACGUUACUCGCAGAAGAAGCACCGGCUCACUCCGUGCCAGCAGCCGCGGUAAUACGGAGGGUGCAAGCGUUAAUCGGAAUUACUGGGCGUAAAGCGCACGCAGGCGGUCUGUCAAGUCGGAUGUGAAAUCCCCGGGCUCAACCUGGGAACUGCAUCCGAAACUGGCAGGCUAGAGUCUUGUAGAGGGGGGUAGAAUUCCAGGUGUAGCGGUGAAAUGCGUAGAGAUCUGGAGGAAUACCGGUGGCGAAGGCGGCCCCCUGGACAAAGACUGACGCUCAGGUGCGAAAGCGUGGGGAGCAAACA
Molecule: ribosomal RNA, 427 nt
Filed under: uncultured bacterium
Lineage: Bacteria
Description: partial 16S ribosomal RNA
Rfam family: Bacterial small subunit ribosomal RNA
Source: RNAcentral